Molecule: long non-coding RNA, 764 nt
Organism: Myotis brandtii (Brandt's bat)
Lineage: Eukaryota; Metazoa; Chordata; Mammalia; Chiroptera; Vespertilionidae
Exons: 3
Source: RefSeq, a predicted model, not a curated record
CCCUUGCUCCACUACCUCUUGUCACUGGCUCAUUUGUUCUCUCCUGGUGCAACCUCAAGUUUGAAUUGAUUACUGCCUGAAAUCCGGGAGAGGGGACUGAGGGAGCUCGCAGUUUCCUUCCGUCUGCCUCAGUGGGACUCCGGCGGCAGCAAUUGCAAGUGUAUGAGAUAGAAGUCUGUGGUGUCCAGUCCUGCUUUUUAAGCACAGAAAAGGUCAGGGAUUCAAGAAAAAAAUCCCUGUCCAAAAGGCGAGUGGGCAAUUGGCUGGAGUGACCUUUGUGGUGUUUUGGAAGAACUUGGCGGUGACAAGAAGCUAUGAAUACCUAUCAGAAAUUCUCGAGACAGUCUUUGCAAGAGCACAAUGAAGAUCAUCUUCCACAACAAGUCUACUUCUGUAUUUAGACUUGUUAACCAACAAGCUGGAAAAUGUUUCACAAAGAUAUGUUGUUGGAACUGGAAGAAGAAGGCUCAACAGUCUCAAACAGAACAGGACAUGACUGCAAACACUUAAUCCAGAAUUUUGUAACUGGCAUUGUAGAGAAAUCAGUUCUCGCUGCAUCGUUGUUAAUAAGUUCAAUCAACCCCUCUUGUGCUGUCUCAGGAACAUCUUCAACUUGGACUGUGAAUGGGCUUCUGGCAAGUGCAAAUGGGGUGUCAGGUAGAUUUGGAAAGUACGAUGAAAUUUCGUCUGCAAGCAUGUGCAAGUGUUCUUUCACAGAAAUUAUCAUCGUAAUCCUUUUGUCUGGUUCAAUGUCAUGUUCCUCA